CGGACGGGUGAGUAACGCGUGAGAAUCUGCCUUUAGGACGGGGACAACAGUUGGAAACGGCUGCUAAAACCCGAUGUGCCCUUCGGGGUGAAAUAUUUAUAGCCUGAAGAUGAGCUCGCGUCUGAUUAGCUAGUAGGUGCGGUAAUGGCGCACCUAGGCGACGAUCAGUAACUGGUCUGAGAGGAUGACCAGUCACACUGGGACUGAGACACGGCCCAG
Molecule: ribosomal RNA, 219 nt
Filed under: uncultured bacterium
Lineage: Bacteria
Description: partial 16S ribosomal RNA
Rfam family: Bacterial small subunit ribosomal RNA
Source: RNAcentral